UACGGAGGGGGCCAGCGUUGUUCGGAAUCAUUGGGCGUAAAGGGCGCGUAGGCGGCCGAUCAAGUCGGAGGUGAAAUCCCUCGGCUCAACUGAGGAAUUGCCUCUGAUACUGUUCGGCUUGAGUCCUGGAGAGGGUAGUGGAAUUCCCAGUGUAGCGGUGAAAUGCGUAGAGACUGGGAAGAACACCAGUGGCGAAGGCGGCUACCUGGACAGGUACUGACGCUGAAGCGCGAAAGCUAGGGGAGCAAACAGG
This 253-nucleotide ribosomal RNA is filed under the name uncultured bacterium. RNAcentral describes it as "partial 16S ribosomal RNA". It matches the Rfam family "Bacterial small subunit ribosomal RNA", at positions 524 to 776 of the family's 1533-position model. The record is from RNAcentral.